This 490-nucleotide ribosomal RNA is filed under the name uncultured bacterium. RNAcentral describes it as "bacterial SSU rRNA". It matches the Rfam family "Bacterial small subunit ribosomal RNA", at positions 21 to 507 of the family's 1533-position model. The record is from RNAcentral.
GGCUCAGGAUGAACGCUAGCGGCAGGCCUAAUACAUGCAAGUCGAACGGUAACAGGUGUAGCAAUACAUGCUGACGAGUGGCGCACGGGUGCGUAACACGUAUGCAACUUUCCUUCAACUGGUGAAUAGCCCCUCGAAAGAGGGAUUAAUACACCAUAAUAUAAUGAGAUGGCAUCAUCUUAUUAUUAAAACUCCGGUGGUUGAAGAUGGGCAUGCGCAACAUUAGCUAGUUGGUGAGGUAAUGGCUCACCAAGGCUACGAUGUUUAGGGUUCUAAGAGGAUUAACCCCCACACUGGUACUGAGACACGGACCAGACUCCUACGGGAGGCAGCAGUAAGGAAUAUUGGACAAUGGUGGCAACACUGAUCCAGCCAUGCCGCGUGCAGGAUGAAGGCCCUAUGGGUUGUAAACUGCUUUUAUACGGGAAAAAACCUCUCUACGUGUAGAGAGCUGAUGGUACCGUAAGAAUAAGGAUCGGCUAACUCCGUG